AUACGUAGGUGACAAGCGUUAUCCGGAUUUACUGGGCGUAAAGGGCGUGUAGGCGGUCUUGCAAGUCAGAAGUGAAAUUCCUGAGCUCAACUCGGGCGCUGCUUCUGAAACUGCAGGACUUGAGUGCUGGAGGGGAUAGCGGAAUUCCUAGUGGAGCGGUAAAAUGCGCAGAUAUUAGGAAGAACACCGGUGGCGAAGGCGGUUAUCUGGACAGUAACGGACGCUGGGGCGCGAAGUGGUGGAGAGAAAACAGGAUUAGAGUCCCGGGUAGUCCACGCCGUAAACGAUGAAUACUAGGUGUAGGGGGUAUCGACUCCCUCUGUGCCGCAGUUAACACAAUAAGUAUUCCGCCUGGGGAGUACGGCCGCAAGGUUGAAACUCAAAUGAAUUGACGGGG
Molecule: ribosomal RNA, 397 nt
Filed under: uncultured bacterium
Lineage: Bacteria
Description: partial 16S ribosomal RNA
Rfam family: Bacterial small subunit ribosomal RNA
Source: RNAcentral